UUCGCCCUUUUCCGGUUGAUCCUGCCGGACCCGACUGCUAUCAGAGUGGGACUAAGCCAUGCGAGUCAACAUAGCAAUAUGUGGCAUACGGCUCAGUAACACAUAGUCAACAUGCCCAGGGGACGUGGAUAACCUCGGGAAACUGAGGAUAAACCGCGAUAGGUCAUCACUUCUGGAAUGGGUAAUGACUUAAAUCUAUAUGGCCCCUGGAUUGGACUGCGGCCGAUCAGGCUGUUGGUGAGGUAAUGGCCCACCAAACCUGUAACCGGUACGGGCUCUGAGAGGAGGAGCCCGGAGAUGGGCACUGAGACAAGGGCCCAGGCCCUAUGGGGCGCAGCAGGCGCGAAACCUCUGCAAUAGGCGAAAGCUUGACAGGGUUACUCUGAGUGAUUUCCGUUAAGGAGAUCUUUUGGCACCUCUAAAAAUGGUGCAGAAUAAGGGGUGGGCAAGUCUGGUGUCAGCCGCCGCGGUAAUACCAGCACCCCGAGUGGUCGGGACGUUUAUUGGGCCUAAAGCAUCCGUAGCCGGUUCUACAAGUCUUCCGUUAAAUCCACCUGCUUAACAGAUGGGCUGCGGAAGAUACUAUAGAGCUAGGAGGCGGGAGAGGCAAGCGGUACUCGAUGGGUAGGGGUAAAAUCCGUUGAUCCAUUGAAGACCACCAGUGGCGAAGGCGGCUUGCCAGAACGCGCUCGACGGUGAGGGAUGAAAGCUGGGGGAGCAAACCGGAUUAGAUACCCGGGUA
Molecule: ribosomal RNA, 742 nt
Filed under: uncultured archaeon
Lineage: Archaea
Description: bacterial SSU rRNA
Rfam family: Archaeal small subunit ribosomal RNA
Source: RNAcentral